AGGGGACCUUCCUGACCCAGGGACUGAACCCAAAUUUCUUAUAUCUCUUGCAUUGGCAGACUCUGAGGACCUACAAACGGUCCCUACCAAGAGCACCUCCCUUAGAGAAGCGGAGACAAAGAUAACCAAGAAACUAUUCCUGCCCUUGAGGAACCCACACUUCAGUGAGUCAUCCAACCUAACAAGUAAUUAGAAUGGAAAUACUCAAAGCAGUCUGGAUGCCAGAGUUAGGCCUCGGGGAGCAGUGCGGUUUGGGGUAGCAGUUCGGGUGCUCUCCCGCCGGGGUAGUAGUUACAACCAUGAGUUCACUCUAAGAGAAUGUGAGAAAUGAAAAGCACUCAGGAGACACCAGCGUCUAACGGAUGAAGGACAGAGGAAGCAGCCAUGAAGAAGAUGUGAAGGCAGGCUGGAAGAAUGGAAGAAAGAUAAGAAGAGGAGCUCACUGAGGCUGUGGAUACAGAGCAGUGAAGUGGACCAGGUCCCUCUCUUCACGGAGUGCCUGUCCUUGUUGGGGAGACUGAUGUGAAACAAGUCCGGAGAUACAAGUGCUGUGAAGAAACACAAAAUAGGGCACACUUCAUCUGGACUACUACGUGUGGACAAAUGAGUCUGAAGCCAUGGGAAGAGGUCAGAAAUAUCAUCACUUCAUCUUCUACCUCUAGUUUCAAGAUCAGCCUGCUUCCUUACACCCAGUUGCCAAGUGAUGUGGCACAAAUUCCAUCAUGUCAGUCCCUGUUUGAAAUCUAUCCAUUUCCCCUAAUCUUUCUAGAAUAAAUUCCAAACUCCUUAAUAUGAUCUUACAAGUCAUUUUUUUUUUUUUUUUAUGGCCAUGCCUCAUGGGUUGUGGGAUCUUAUUUCCCCAACCAAGGAUUGAACCUGGGCCCUCAGCAGUGAAAGCAUGGAGUUCUAACCACUGGACCGCCAGGUAAUUCCCUGGCCAGGCAUUUUUUUACACUUUGCCUCAUGUACCUAAUGUGUGGGCAAUACUGAAGCCUUGUUUCUCAAAGGCCUCUUUCCUUUUCAAGUUUCUGUGGAAGUUUUGUAACAUAGCAUCUUUGUACCUCCAGAUCUAACAUAAUACCUGGUACAAAGUAGAUGUUCAGUACAUGCUCAUUGAAUAAAGAUGCGCACAGAGGUUGAAGGUAAGAAACCAAUCAGAAAAAAAAAGAAAGAAAGAAACCAAUCAGAAGACGACUUUGUUGUUGUUCAGUUGCCAGGUCUUGUCCCACUCUUUGCAAUCCCAGGGACUGCAGCACACCAGUUUCCU
Molecule: long non-coding RNA, 1267 nt
Organism: Bubalus bubalis (water buffalo)
Lineage: Eukaryota; Metazoa; Chordata; Mammalia; Artiodactyla; Bovidae
Exons: 4
Source: RefSeq, a predicted model, not a curated record